GCGAGCGUAGCUCAGUGGUAGAGCUCCACCUUGCCAAGGUGACUGUCGUGAGUUCGAAUCUCAUCGCUCGCUCCA
RNAcentral lists this transfer RNA (75 nucleotides) under Kiritimatiellaceae bacterium. Its description in RNAcentral is "tRNA-Gly". It matches the Rfam family "tRNA". From Rfam's summary of the family: Transfer RNA (tRNA) molecules are approximately 80 nucleotides in length. The record is from RNAcentral. RNAcentral also lists the same sequence under 1 other name. Lineage: Bacteria; Pseudomonadati; Kiritimatiellota; Kiritimatiellia; Kiritimatiellales; Kiritimatiellaceae.